GCCUCGCAAGUGGAUGUAGGUCAUUUGACCGAACCACUCUAAAAUCGGCGUGAUCUUUGGUUUGCAUUUCAUUAUUGCUAUUUACAUUACUGCAAACCUUCUUACAUGCUUUAGUUCCUUAUUACCUUUGUUGCGCAACUUUAAGAAUACGCUUUCAAGUUAAGCUUUUCAAGUUCCGUUCUUAUCGUACGAAAGAUUUGUCGAAACCAACGUUUUAAUCCGCU
RNAcentral lists this long non-coding RNA (224 nucleotides) under Musa acuminata (dwarf banana). RNAcentral describes it as "long non-coding RNA (MACU_LNC003968)". Lineage: Eukaryota; Viridiplantae; Streptophyta; Magnoliopsida; Zingiberales; Musaceae. The record is from RNAcentral.